GUGACAGGAGACAGAGGCUGAUAGGAGGCGGGGACACCAGUGGCAAGAGAGUAAGCACAGGUUAGGGAACCAGUACCGGAGGGGAAUAAGGGCAGGGAAGAGAGAAUGCGCACUAACUUCAUCCUGAUCUCUUUCUGCUUCUUCUCCUUUGCUUUCACAAAGGCCGUGGGGUCGAAACGGGUCACACGACCACCUAUGACAGUGUGGGCAAGUGGAGAGAGGAGGCUGAAUCAGGCUCUCACAACGGCAGAGUGCCAACAACUGUGGAAAGGAAUGGAUGAGGAGGACCUGUCUUCUGCCCCCAGGUGGUCACCAGGAUACAUUGUAAAUCAGCACAGAAGACUGGGUUCUGCAAGUCCCUUUUUAUAAAAGAACGUAAUUAUAAAUUACAGGUAUGUUCAUAUUUUCAGAAUAGAAUAACUAAAAAGCUUUAAAAUGGGGAAGGACUGACUGGAGAUGUAGCCGUGAUAAAAGUACUUACCUAGCAAGUGUGGGGCCCUGGGUUCAAUCCCCAGCACCAUAAAAAAAAAGCAGGGGGAGGAGGACUGAUUACCCGUGGAAAAAGGAGGAAGAACAGGGAUAGAAACUGGACCUCUCUGAAUGGAAACCCCUUUUUCACUCUGACUCUAGAACUAUGAAAAUAUUGUAUAUAAAGAGUUACAAGCUCUGUUACCCAAGCUGGCCUCAAACUCCUGGGUCAUUUCAACAUGAAGGGUUCCUACUGGCCAAAGACAAGACAUUAUCUACAUCACAAAGAAUAAAUGCAAGGCUGAGGUUGUGGCUCAGUGGUUGUGGCUCACUUGCCUAGCAUGUGUGAGGCAUUGGGUUCGAUUCUCAGCACCGCAUAUAAAUAAAUGAAUAAAAUAAAGGUCUAUCAACAUCUAAAAAAACAUUUAAAAAAAGAAUGAAUGCAAUUAAUGAAUCUGUGGCAGGCUAAAUAGUGCCCCCCUCCCUGAGGAAAAAGAGAUAUCCCCGUCCUUUUCCCUGGAAUCUGUGACUCUUAGCUGAUAUGGCAACAAGGCACUUAUGGGUCUGAUAAAUUAAGGAUCUUGAGAUGAGAUUUUCCUGGCUUAUCAGGGUGGGCCCUAAAUGUAAUCCCAAGUAUCCCGAUUCAGAAUCAGAGAAACUAGACACAGAAGAGGAAAGGACAGUGUGACCACAGGCAGAGACUGGAGUGAGGUGGUCAUAAGCCAAAGAAUGUCAGCAGACACCAGAAGCUGGAAGAGGCAACAGAGUCCCCCAGCGUCUCUGGAGGGAGCCCAGCCCUGCCGAUGUCUUGACCUCAGUCCAGUGAAAGUGGUUUCAGAACUCUGGCCUCCAGAACUGGAAGACAACAAAUUUCGGUGUUUUAAAGCCACCAAUUUUGUGGAACUUUGUCACAGAAGCCAUAGGAAACCAACACAAGAUCAAUUAAGUUGAAGUUCACAGAGUUUAUAAUGAUACAAGAACAAAAGUCACUGAUCUCCAUGGUGAAUGAGAAGGAACCAAUACAUUAUUCUGAUGAAAGUUAAAUAAAAGAAAGAGUUAAGCAUUAA
Molecule: long non-coding RNA, 1535 nt
Organism: Marmota monax (woodchuck)
Lineage: Eukaryota; Metazoa; Chordata; Mammalia; Rodentia; Sciuridae
Exons: 2
Source: RefSeq, a predicted model, not a curated record